This 448-nucleotide ribosomal RNA is filed under the name uncultured bacterium. RNAcentral describes it as "partial 16S ribosomal RNA". It matches the Rfam family "Bacterial small subunit ribosomal RNA", at positions 331 to 794 of the family's 1533-position model. The record is from RNAcentral.
CCAGACUCCUACGGGAGGCAGCAGUGGGGGAUAUUGCACAAUGGGGGAAACCCUGAUGCAGCGACGCCGCGUGGGCGAAGAAGUAUUUCGGUAUGUAAAGCCCUAUCGGCAGGGAAGAAGAAAUGACGGUACCUGAAUAAGAAGCACCGGCUAAAUACGUGCCAGCAGCCGCGGUAAUACGUAUGGUGCAAGCGUUAUCCGGAUUUACUGUGCGUAAAGGGAGCGCAGGCGGCGCGCCAAGUCUGAUGUGAAACCCCGGGGCUCAACCCCGGGCAUGCAUUGGAAACUGGCGGGCUGGAGUGCCGGAGAGGUAAGCGGAAUUCCUAGUGUAGCGGUGAAAUGCGUAGAUAUUAGGAGGAACACCAGUGGCGAAGGCGGCUUACUGGACGGCAACUGACGCUGAGGCUCGAAAGCGUGGGGAGCAAACAGGAUUAGAUACCCCAGUAAC